RNAcentral lists this long non-coding RNA (297 nucleotides) under Helianthus annuus (common sunflower). RNAcentral's name for it is "hypothetical non coding rna". The record is from RNAcentral. Lineage: Eukaryota; Viridiplantae; Streptophyta; Magnoliopsida; Asterales; Asteraceae.
GAUCCCCACUCUCUCAAAAACCCUAACCUCACAAAAUUGAUCAAUUGAAGGCUAAUCCUUGUUCCAAAUCAAAAUCUGAAUAUAGAUUCGUGAUCCUCAUCACAAGGGGGUUACAAGAAAAGUAUGAUGUUUAAAUGUUAUAUGGGGACUUUAUUGAUGUUAAGAAAGGAGGCCCGGGCAUCUAGCGGGCAAACCGGUGUGGACGCACGUUUGAAAGGUCUACUUUGAAGGUGACGAUGGACCUAAUCCGGAUGGCGAUCAAGCAUCUUUUCAAGAACCGAACACUACAUUUUGAAG